RNAcentral lists this ribosomal RNA (860 nucleotides) under uncultured bacterium. RNAcentral describes it as "bacterial SSU rRNA". It matches the Rfam family "Bacterial small subunit ribosomal RNA", at positions 62 to 939 of the family's 1533-position model. The record is from RNAcentral.
UCGAACGAGAACGGGACUUCGGUCCUUAUUAGAGUGGCGCACGGGUGAGUAACGCGUAGAUAACCUACCCUUCAGACUGGGAUAACCCUGAGAAAUUAGGGCUAAUACCGGAUAAGACUGAGACUCAGGUGAGUUUCAGUUGAAAGUUCCGGCGCUGAGGGAUGGGUCUGCGUCCCAUUAGCUAGUAGGUAGGGUAAAAGCCUACCUAGGCGACGAUGGGUAGCGGGUCUGAGAGGAUGAUCCGCCACACUGGAACUGAGACACGGUCCAGACUCCUACGGGAGGCAGCAGUGGGGAAUAUUGCACAAUGGGCGCAAGCCUGAUGCAGCGAUGCCGCGUGAGUGAAGAAGGCCUUAGGGUCGUAAAGCUCUUUAUCUCUGGGAAGAUAAUGACGGUACCAGAGGAAUAAGCACCGGCUAACUACGUGCCAGCAGCCGCGGUAAUACGUAGGGUGCAAGCGUUGUUCGGAAUCACUGGGCGUAAAGGGCGUGUAGGCGGAGAAGUAAGCCAGAGGUGAAAGCCCGGGGCUCAACCCCGGAGGGUCUUUUGGAACUGCUUUUCUUGAGAGGGUUAGAGGUUAGCGGAAUUCCUGGUGUAGCGGUGAAAUGCGUAGAUAUCAGGAGGAACACCGGAGGCGAAAGCGGCUAACUGGGGCCAAUCUGACGCUGAGGCGCGAAAGCAUGGGGAGCAAACGGGAUUAGAUACCCCGGUAGUCCAUGCCGUAAACGAUGGAUACUAGAUGUCUAGGGAAUCGACCCCCUGGGUGUCGCAGCUAACGCAUUAAGUAUCCCGCCUGGGGAGUACGGUCGCAAGACUAAAACUCAAAGGAAUUGACGGGGGCCCGCACAAGCGGUGGAACA